Molecule: ribosomal RNA, 881 nt
Filed under: uncultured bacterium
Lineage: Bacteria
Description: bacterial SSU rRNA
Rfam family: Bacterial small subunit ribosomal RNA
Source: RNAcentral
AGAGUUUGAUCCUGGCUCAGGAUGAACGCUAGCUACAGGCUUAACACAUGCAAGUCGAGGGGAAACGAUAGAGAAAGCUUGCUUUUUCUAGGCGUCGACCGGCGCACGGGUGAGUAACGCGUAUCCAACCUGCCCACCACUUGGGGAUAACCUUGCGAAAGUAAGACUAAUACCCAAUGACGUCUCUAGAAGGCAUCUGAAAGGGAUUAAAGAUUUAUCGGUGAUGGAUGGGGAUGCGUCUGAUUAGCUUGUUGGCGGGGUAACGGCCCACCAAGGCAACGAUCAGUAGGGGUUCUGAGAGGAAGGUCCCCCACAUUGGAACUGAGACACGGUCCAAACUCCUACGGGAGGCAGCAGUGAGGAAUAUUGGUCAAUGGGCGAGAGCCUGAACCAGCCAAGUAGCGUGCAGGAUGACGGCCCUAUGGGUUGUAAACUGCUUUUAUAAGGGAAUAAAGUGAGCCUCGUGAGGCUUUUUGCAUGUACCUUAUGAAUAAGGACCGGCUAAUUCCGUGCCAGCAGCCGCGGUAAUACGGAAGGUCCGGGCGUUAUCCGGAUUUAUUGGGUUUAAAGGGAGCGUAGGCUGGAGAUUAAGCGUGUUGUGAAAUGUAGAUGCUCAACAUCUGCACUGCAGCGCGAACUGGUUUCCUUGAGUACGCACAAAGUGGGCGGAAUUCGUGGUGUAGCGGUGAAAUGCUUAGAUAUCACGAAGAACUCCGAUUGCGAAGGCAGCUCACUGGAGCGCAACUGACGCUGAAGCUCGAAAGUGCGGGUAUCGAACAGGAUUAGAUACCCUGGUAGUCCGCACGGUAAACGAUGGAUGCCCGCUGUUGGUCUGAAUAGGUCAGCGGCCAAGCGAAAGCAUUAAGCAUCCCACCUGGGGA